GAAACCGAGUCUUAACCGGGCGUUAAGUUGCAGGGUAUAGACCCGAAACCCGGUGAUCUAGCCAUGGGCAGGUUGAAGGUUGGGUAACACUAACUGGAGGACCGAACCGACUAAUGUUGAAAAAUUAGCGGAUGACCUGUGGCUGGGGGUGAAAGGCCAAUCAAACCGGGAGAUAGCUGGUUCUCCCCGAAAGCUAUUUAGGUAGCGCCUCGUGAAUUCAUCUCCGGGGGUAGAGCACUGUUUCGGCUAGGGGGCCAUCCCGGCUUACCAACCCGAUGCAAACUGCGAAUACCGGAGAAUGUUAUCACGGGAGACACACGGCGGGUGCUAACGUCCGUCGUGAAGAGGGAAACAACCCAGACCGCCAGCUAAGGUCCCAAAGUCAUGGUUAAGUGGGAAACGAUGUGGGAAGGCCCAGACAGCCAGGAUGUUGGCUUAGAAGCAGCCAUCAUUUAAAGAAAGCGUAAUAGCUCACUGGUCGAGUCGGCCUGCGCGGAAGAUGUAACGGGGCUAAACCAUGCACCGAAGCUGCGGCAGCGACGCUGAUGCGUUGUUGGGUAGGGGAGCGUUCUGUAAGCCUGCGAAGGUGGCCUGUGAGGGUUGCUGGAGGUAUCAGAAGUGCGAAUGCUGACAUAAGUAACGAUAAAGCGGGUGAAAAGCCCGCUCGCCGGAAGACCAAGGGUUCCUGUCCAACGUUAAUCGGGGCAGGGUGAGUCGACCCCUAAGGCGAGGCCGAAAGGCGUAGUCGAUGGGAAACGGGUUAAUAUUCCCGUACUUGGUGUUACUGCGAAGGGGGGACGGAGAAGGCUAUGUUGGCCGGGCGACGGUUGUCCCGGUUUAAGCGUGUAGGUGUGUGUUCCAGGUAAAUCCGGUUCACUUUAACACUGAGGCGUGACGACGAGGCACUACGGUGCUGAAGCAACAAAUGCCCUGCUUCCAGGAAAAGCCUCUAAGCAUCAGGUAACACGAAAUCGUACCCCAAACCGACACAGGUGGUCAGGUAGAGAAUACCAAGGCGCUUGAGAGAACUCGGGUGAAGGAACUAGGCAAAAUGGUGCCGUAACUUCGGGAGAAGGCACGCUGACACGUAGGUGAAGUGAUUUACUCAUGGAGCUGAAGUCAGUCGAAGAUACCAGCUGGCUGCAACUGUUUAUUAAAAACACAGCACUGUGCAAACACGAAAGUGGACGUAUACGGUGUGACGCCUGCCCGGUGCCGGAAGGUUAAUUGAUGGGGUCAGCGCAAGCGAAGCUCCUGAUCGAAGCCCCGGUAAACGGCGGCCGUAACUAUAACGGUCCUAAGGUAGCGAAAUUCCUUGUCGGGUAAGUUCCGACCUGCACGAAUGGCGUAAUGAUGGCCAGGCUGUCUCCACCCGAGACUCAGUGAAAUUGAACUCGCUGUGAAGAUGCAGUGUACCCGCGGCAAGACGGAAAGACCCCGUGAACCUUUACUAUAGCUUGACACUGAACAUUGAGCCUUGAUGUGUAG
This 1488-nucleotide ribosomal RNA is filed under the name Salmonella enterica subsp. enterica serovar Haifa. Its description in RNAcentral is "partial 23S ribosomal RNA". It matches the Rfam family "Bacterial large subunit ribosomal RNA", at positions 673 to 2141 of the family's 2925-position model. Lineage: Bacteria; Pseudomonadati; Pseudomonadota; Gammaproteobacteria; Enterobacterales; Enterobacteriaceae. The record is from RNAcentral.